This is a long non-coding RNA of Hemicordylus capensis (graceful crag lizard), 691 nucleotides long. RefSeq lists it as uncharacterized. The record is from RefSeq and is a predicted model, not a curated record. Lineage: Eukaryota; Metazoa; Chordata; Lepidosauria; Squamata; Cordylidae. The transcript is spliced from 3 exons.
GGGGCUUCUGCUGGGAGCUCCAGUGCUUAACUUACUUUCAAAGCCCUUUCUUGCAGUUGCAGAGGUCUUAUAUCUCGGUGGCUCAUCUCUCAGAAAGGAGGGUACCUAGAGAGAGGGGAGUUCAUGUUUAUGAAUGUCCUCAGAUAUCCCACAGAAUCCUUUACAGUGGCUGUGGAAACUCUCCAAAGAAACUGUCAUCAAAACUCUGGCAAAGAGAUUCUGAAAAGCGCUGAGAUCACAGCACAUAAAUGGUGAUGCUAUUUUGAGGAGUCCCCAUUAACGCAUCUGCAGCUGUAGAAGGUCAUGCCAUUUGGGGACUCUCAUCAUUGCUAACACAAAUGGUUUCAAUGUGUCCUAGAAAGGGAUUUGUCACCAUACGGAACUAAUAAUUGAUUCUGUCUACUACAUGUAUACCUCUGAUCUUUGAGAAAUUGGUUGAAAUUACUCCAGUUUGAAUAGGUUUGAAAGUAUCAGGUGUAACAUUACAUUUUUCAGUAGAGAAGAUUAUAUAUCAAAAAAGAAAUUCAUCCUUUAAAAAAAGAACUUGCCAUUGGCCAUGUCCAUUUUUGCAUCCCUGACUUCUUUUUCAGCCUUUUGACAGGGAAUUUUAUGAAACGGAGAUAUUCAAAAGUCUCCUUAAUUUCUCUUAAAAUAGUUUUUGAAUCACCAAUAAAUAUGUAGUCUGCUUUGA